UCACUUGGAAAGUAAGCACCACUGUGGU
This 28-nucleotide non-coding RNA is filed under the name Cricetulus griseus (Chinese hamster). Lineage: Eukaryota; Metazoa; Chordata; Mammalia; Rodentia; Cricetidae. The record is from RNAcentral.